Molecule: long non-coding RNA, 307 nt
Filed under: Ananas comosus (pineapple)
Lineage: Eukaryota; Viridiplantae; Streptophyta; Magnoliopsida; Poales; Bromeliaceae
Description: long non-coding RNA (ACOM_LNC036117)
Source: RNAcentral
AAUCCCCUUGAAAAAGUAUAAAAGUUAAAGACUACUGAUAUUCUUGGAAUAGAAACAUUUAAUUUGGCAAAGGGAAUUAGUUGCUCAUAGAACACACAAUAUUUUUCCUAAAUUAUGGUUCUUUUAGAUUAUGGUUACAUAUAUUCUUUACUGGAUUACAGCAACGAGCUAAAAUUAAUUCUGUUUUUAUUUAUUUUUGUGUAGUUUCAGGAUAGUUUGUGGUAUCAAAAAGUGAAGCAUCACAGUUACAGAGCGGGAUAUAUCUUUAGAUAAUAUCAGGUGUUAUUAACGUUGUUAAGAUAGUCAU